Molecule: ribosomal RNA, 253 nt
Filed under: uncultured bacterium
Lineage: Bacteria
Description: partial 16S ribosomal RNA
Rfam family: Bacterial small subunit ribosomal RNA
Source: RNAcentral
UACGGGGGGAGCAAGCGUUGUUCGGAAUUACUGGGCGUAAAGGGCGCGUAGGCGGUCUGCUAAGUUGGAUGUGAAAACUCUGGGCUUAACCCAGAGCCUGCAUUCAAUACUGACAGGCUAGAGUUCUGGAGGGGAUAGCGGAAUUCCUGGUGUAGCGGUGAAAUGCGUAGAUAUCAGGAGGAACACCGGUGGCGAAGGCGGCUAUCUGGACAGAGUCUGACGCUGAGGCACGAAAGCGUGGGGAGCAAACAGG